Molecule: long non-coding RNA, 267 nt
Filed under: Ananas comosus (pineapple)
Lineage: Eukaryota; Viridiplantae; Streptophyta; Magnoliopsida; Poales; Bromeliaceae
Description: long non-coding RNA (ACOM_LNC036398)
Source: RNAcentral
AGAGGUAGUUUUGGUUAUGCCAUGUAUAUACAGUGAUGGUUGUUUUAGUUUGUUCUAUGAGAGGCUGGUGGUUUUUGGAACUUGUAUGUACAGUGGACCGUUUAUGUAUUGUAUUAAUAUAUGUUUCAGUUUUAGCAGCUCUAUACUUCUGGUUGUAGCUAUGAUUUGUUUACAGGUACAGCUAUCGCUUCGUAUACAUGGAAAAUUUCUAUGUAUACAGUGGGUUUGUUGGCAUGCCCGGGGAAACGUGGUAAUCCGGGGCGUGAC